UAUUCGCUAGUGUAUGAAAUUUCUAUUUUUUUCCGAUGGUCUAUAAACGCAUCACUUGCUGCAACGUGUUCUGAGCUGCUGCGCCACAACUUUCCUCCAUUCCUCCGCGGGUUUUUUAACAAGAAACACACUACUAUUCUCUCUUCCAUAUCACGGAGAGUCGGAGUGAGAAGCCAUGUUAGCUGUGUGCGCAUGAGGCUGAAUUGAGGCCGACAGGUAGUCGCCAUUACACAAAACUUUCUGGCUGGUUUUUCCCGGGGGUAUCCGGUUCCACAUGCAUAAACUUCUUCAUGAUGAUCUUCACUGAAUGAUUUGGCUGAGCCAUCCUGCCUGGUGGGAAAGAACUACUGCAGGCUGAUCCUCCGACUGCUGGUUGCUGAUACCGCUCGACACUGCAUCAUUUCAAGGAGGCGGUGGUGAACAAAUCUUUUAAAGCCAACAAAGAAUAUUUUAAAACUUCAAUUGGUGACCCCGACGUGAUCCACUAAGAACGGCAACGGAGAGUAUCCAGAGCAGGAUUCGGGUUGUCUGAGUCUGGGAUCCCACCACAACAAAGGUAAGCAGUAACC
Long non-coding RNA from Melanotaenia boesemani (Boeseman's rainbowfish), 569 nucleotides. RefSeq lists it as uncharacterized. The record is from RefSeq and is a predicted model, not a curated record. NCBI's taxonomy places the organism in Eukaryota, Metazoa, Chordata, Actinopteri, Atheriniformes, Melanotaeniidae. The transcript is spliced from 4 exons.